GAUGAACGCUGGCGGCGUGCCUAAUACAUGCAAGUCGAGCGAACAGACGAGGAGCUUGCUCCUCUGACGUUAGCGGCGGACGGGUGAGUAACACGUGGAUAACCUACCUAUAAGACUGGGAUAACUUCGGGAAACCGGAGCUAAUACCGGAUAAUAUAUUGAACCGCAUGGUUCAAUAGUGAAAGACGGUUUCGCUGUCACUUAUAGAUGGAUCCGCGCCGCAUUAGCUAGUUGGUAAGGUAACGGCUUACCAAGGCAACGAUGCGUAGCCGACCUGAGAGGGUGAUCGGCCACACUGGAACUGAGACACGGUCCAGACUCCUACGGGAGGCAGCAGUAGGGAAUCUUCCGCAAUGGGCGAAAGCCUGACGGAGCAACGCCGCGUGAGUGAUGAAGGUCUUCGGAUCGUAAAACUCUGAUAUUAGGGAAGAACAAAUGUGUAAGUAACUAUGCACGUCUUGACGGUACCUAAUCAGAAAGCCACGGCUAACUACGUG
Molecule: ribosomal RNA, 497 nt
Filed under: uncultured bacterium
Lineage: Bacteria
Description: partial 16S ribosomal RNA
Rfam family: Bacterial small subunit ribosomal RNA
Source: RNAcentral